AUGUUAGAAGGUGCUAAAUCAAUAGGUGCCGGAGCUGCUACAAUUGCAUUAGCCAGAGCUGCUAUCGGUAUUGGAAACGUCCUCAGUUCUUCGAUUCAUUCCGUGGCGGGAAAUCCAUCAUUGGCUAAACAAUCAUUUGGUUAUGCCAUUUUGGGCUUUGCUCUCACCAAAGCUAUUGCAUUGUUUGCCCCAAUGAUGGCCUUUCUAAUCUCACUCGUUUUCCGAUCGCAUAAAAAGUCAUGA
RNAcentral lists this ribosomal RNA (243 nucleotides) under Triticum aestivum (bread wheat). Its description in RNAcentral is "partial small subunit ribosomal RNA". The record is from RNAcentral. Lineage: Eukaryota; Viridiplantae; Streptophyta; Magnoliopsida; Poales; Poaceae.